This 316-nucleotide ribosomal RNA is filed under the name uncultured bacterium. Its description in RNAcentral is "bacterial SSU rRNA". It matches the Rfam family "Bacterial small subunit ribosomal RNA", at positions 1 to 309 of the family's 1533-position model. The record is from RNAcentral.
UAGAGUUUGAUCAUGGCUCAGAACGAACGCUGGCGGCGUGCUUAACACAUGCAAGUCGAACGAGAAAGCUCCUUCGGGAGUGAGUAGAGUGGCGCACGGGUGAGUAAUACAUAGGAACGUACCAUUUAGUGGGGAAUAACUACCGGAAACGGUGGCUAAUACCGCAUAAUGUCUUAUAAGUAAAGUUAUAUUGAUUAAAGGAGGCCUCUGCUUGCAUGCUUUCGCUAAAUGAUCGGCCUAUGUCCCAUUAGCUUGUUGGUAGGGUAAUGGCCUACCAAGGCAACGAUGGGUAGCUGGUCUUAGAGGAUGAUCAGCC